UGGAGAGACGGAGCCUCACCCAGCCUCUUAGGCGACAGCAGCUUCUCAGGGCCCAGCUCCGCACUCAGCAUGGCCCGGGCCCGGCUCAGCGCCUGACGGAUGCCCUGCAGCUCCUGGGGCUCGGGCCCAGCCCGCACCUGGGUCAGUAGGUCCUGCACCAGCUGGCCCGCGGCUGUGUGUCGGUCCUGCAUCAGUGCUGCCGCAGCCCGGCCCACCUGCCGCUCCGGUGCCAGUAGGGAGCAGAAGGCGGCGCUCAUGGACCGAAGCAGAGGUCGUCGGCGGCCCAGGAGGAGACGCCUGAGAGAGGAGGGAAGUGAGGUGCCCAGUAGUGAAGCUGGACGGGCUGGGGGCUCCAGGAGAGCCCGCGCCUGACUCUCCAGGGCUUUCCAUGGCUGGGAGCUCCUUCGCUUCAGGAAGAGAAUCCAGUCCCAAGGCAAGGCACGCACAUCCCCAGGAUGGGUUUCACCAUGUUGCCCAAGCUGGUCUCGAAAAGAACUCCUGGGCCCGAGCAAUCUACCCGCCUUGGCCUCCCAAAGUGCUGGGACUG
RNAcentral lists this long non-coding RNA (547 nucleotides) under Homo sapiens (human). Its description in RNAcentral is "long non-coding RNA NONHSAT159266.1". Lineage: Eukaryota; Metazoa; Chordata; Mammalia; Primates; Hominidae. The record is from RNAcentral.